AACAAGGUUUCCGUAGGUGAACCUGCGGAAGGAUCAUUACCGAGUUCUCGGGCUUCGGCUCGAAUCUCCCACCCUUUGUGAACAUACCUCUGUUGCUUUGGCGGCUCUUUGCCGCGAGGAGGCCCUCGCGGGCCCCCCCGCGCGCUUUCCGCCAGAGGACCUUCAAACUCCAGUCAGUAAACGUCGACGUCUGAUAAACAAGUUAAUAAACUAAAACUUUCAACAACGGAUCUCUUGGUUCUGGCAUCGAUGAAGAACGCAGCGAAAUGCGAUAAGUAAUGUGAAUUGCAGAAUUCAGUGAAUCAUCGAAUCUUUGAACGCACAUUGCGCCCCCUGGCAUUCCGGGGGGCAUGCCUGUUCGAGCGUCAUUACAACCCUCAAGCUCUGCUUGGUAUUGGGCGCCGUCCUCUCUGCGGACGCGCCUUAAAGACCUCGGCGGUGGCUGUUCAGCCCUCAAGCGUAGUAGAAUACACCUCGCUUUGGAGCGGUUGGCGUCGCCCGCCGGACGAACCUUCUGAACUUUUCUCAAGGUUGACCUCGGAUCAGGUAGGGAUACCCGCUGAACUUAAGCAU
RNAcentral lists this ribosomal RNA (573 nucleotides) under Diplodia seriata. RNAcentral describes it as "eukaryotic LSU rRNA". The stretch from base 215 to 368 matches the Rfam family "5.8S ribosomal RNA". Lineage: Eukaryota; Fungi; Ascomycota; Dothideomycetes; Botryosphaeriales; Botryosphaeriaceae. The record is from RNAcentral.